This 24-nucleotide non-coding RNA is filed under the name Cricetulus griseus (Chinese hamster). The record is from RNAcentral. Lineage: Eukaryota; Metazoa; Chordata; Mammalia; Rodentia; Cricetidae.
UGAUGUGCUUCCUGACCCUUUGGC